Molecule: transfer RNA, 77 nt
Filed under: Escherichia coli
Lineage: Bacteria; Pseudomonadati; Pseudomonadota; Gammaproteobacteria; Enterobacterales; Enterobacteriaceae
Description: tRNA-Arg
Rfam family: tRNA
About the family: Transfer RNA (tRNA) molecules are approximately 80 nucleotides in length. Their secondary structure includes four short double-helical elements and three loops (D, anti-codon, and T loops).
Source: RNAcentral
GCGCCUUUAGCUCAGUUGGAUAGAGCAACGACCUUCUAAGUCGUGGGCCGCAGGUUCGAAUCCUGCAGGGCGCGCCA